Molecule: ribosomal RNA, 431 nt
Filed under: uncultured bacterium
Lineage: Bacteria
Description: bacterial SSU rRNA
Rfam family: Bacterial small subunit ribosomal RNA
Source: RNAcentral
AACACAUGCAAGUCGAACGGGCGUAGCAAUACGUCAGUGGCAGACGGGUGAGUAACACGUGGAACGUACCUCUUGGUCCGGAACAACACAGGGAAACUUGUGCUAAUACCGGAUAAGCCCUUACGGGGAAAGAUUUAUCGCCGGGAGAUCGGCCCGCGUCUGAUUAGCUAGUUGGUAGGGUAAUGGCCUACCAAGGCGACGAUCAGUAGCUGGUCUGAGAGGAUGAUCAGCCACAUUGGGACUGAGACACGGCCCAAACUCCUACGGGAGGCAGCAGUGGGGAAUAUUGGACAAUGGGGGCAACCCUGAUCUAGCCAUGCCGCGUGAGUGAUGAAGGCCCUAGGGUUGUAAAGCUCUUUUGUGCGGGAAGAUAAUGACGGUACCGCAAGAAUAAGCCCCGGCUAACUUCGUGCCAGCAGCCGCGGUAAUUC